RNAcentral lists this long non-coding RNA (515 nucleotides) under Homo sapiens (human). RNAcentral's name for it is "HSALNT0218749". Lineage: Eukaryota; Metazoa; Chordata; Mammalia; Primates; Hominidae. The record is from RNAcentral.
CCGCCAAGCAAGUUCAGUUCAUGCUCUGCUUACUGAGCCUCUCGUUCUAUCCCAUGGGAAAGAAUAACAAUGGCCACCACUCCUGACAUCAAGAGGACUUAUCCAGGCUACUUUGCAAGAAGACAGCCAGUCUCUUCAAUGGCUGUUGGUUCUGGGCACUCAUCCAGAGUGCCACAGAUACCUCUUUAUGCAUGAAGGAAGUACACGGGCUCUCACAACAUCGAUAUGAAGCUGAAAAGUUACCCCAAAGCUGAGCAUCUUAAUGUUGAAGCAAUGCUGGUGAUCAUCGCCUGCAACUUUCCAUUUUGUUACCAUAUUCCUGAGAGGGGGACAACCAUCCUCUGAACACCAACAAGAACAGGGAGUUCUCUCUCAAGAGAGCAGCCCACCUCAUUCAACAGCUCUAAUAACUAAAAUGCCUGCAGUUAUAUAGGGGUAUGACUUGGUCAUUUGUCUUCCAGACACGGAAGAAGUACAUGGCCAUGCUCCCAUUAUCUAAAUUCAGCCACUAAAGA